UUUGCGGGGAAUGUUGUCUGGCUCGAGGACUUUUUCAUCUUGAUCUAUAGAAAUAUAUCUGUCAAGAAAUGUUUAGUGUUCUCGGACCAGGCUUCAUUCCCCACAAU
This 107-nucleotide microRNA precursor is filed under the name Trifolium pratense (red clover). RNAcentral describes it as "pre miRNA mir-166". It matches the Rfam family "mir-166 microRNA precursor family". Rfam says of the family: This family represents the plant microRNA (miRNA) precursor mir-166. Animal miRNAs are transcribed as ~70nt precursors and subsequently processed by the Dicer enzyme to give a ~22nt product. Lineage: Eukaryota; Viridiplantae; Streptophyta; Magnoliopsida; Fabales; Fabaceae. The record is from RNAcentral.